Long non-coding RNA from Thalassophryne amazonica, 183 nucleotides. RefSeq lists it as uncharacterized. The record is from RefSeq and is a predicted model, not a curated record. The transcript has 3 exons. Lineage: Eukaryota; Metazoa; Chordata; Actinopteri; Batrachoidiformes; Batrachoididae.
UAAGAAGCAUUUCAAGAGAGCUGUGGAUGAAGGUUGCAUCCAGGAACGUUCACAAGCAAAAUGUUAAUCAAAAUGAAGUGGACCCACAAUAAAUUAACCCACUUAUUCACACUGGGAGCAACUGGGGAUUAAGGACCUCGCCCAAGGGCCCUUAGUGAUGUUCAGAUGGAAAAGCGCUGUAUA